RNAcentral lists this ribosomal RNA (468 nucleotides) under uncultured bacterium. Its description in RNAcentral is "partial 16S ribosomal RNA". It matches the Rfam family "Bacterial small subunit ribosomal RNA", at positions 28 to 507 of the family's 1533-position model. The record is from RNAcentral.
GACGAACGCUGGCGGCGUGCUUAACACAUGCAAGUCGAACGGAAAGGCCCUGCUUUUGUGGGGUGCUCGAGUGGCGAACGGGUGAGUAACACGUGAGUAACCUGCCCUUGACUUUGGGAUAACUUCAGGAAACUGGGGCUAAUACCGGAUAGGAGCUCCUGCUGCAUGGUGGGGGUUGGAAAGUUUCGGCGGUUGGGGAUGGACUCGCGGCUUAUCAGCUUGUUGGUGGGGUAGUGGCUUACCAAGGCUUUGACGGGUAGCCGGCCUGAGAGGGUGACCGGCCACAUUGGGACUGAGAUACGGCCCAGACUCGUACGGGAGGCAGCAGUGGGGAGUAUUGCACAAUGGGCGGGAGCCUGAUGCGGCAACGCCGCGUGCGGGAUGACGGCCUUCGGGUUGUAAACCGCUUUCGCCUGUGACGAAGCGUGAGUGACGGUAAUGGGUAAAGAAGCACCGGCUAACUACGUG